UUCAUGGAGAGUUUGAUCCUGGCUCAGGACGAACGCUGGCGGCGUGCCUAAUACAUGCAAGUCGAGCGGACAGAUGGGAGCUUGCUCCCUGAUGUCAGCGGCGGACGGGUGAGUAACACGUGGGUAACCUGC
This 132-nucleotide ribosomal RNA is filed under the name Bacillus paralicheniformis. RNAcentral describes it as "partial 16S ribosomal RNA". It matches the Rfam family "Bacterial small subunit ribosomal RNA", at positions 1 to 129 of the family's 1533-position model. The record is from RNAcentral. Lineage: Bacteria; Bacillati; Bacillota; Bacilli; Caryophanales; Bacillaceae.